CGAGCGAACAGACGAGGAGCUUGCUCCUCUAACGUUAGCGGCGGACGGGUGAGUAACACGUGGAUAACCUACCUAUAAGACUGGGAUAACUUCGGGAAACCGGAGCUAAUACCGGAUAAUAUAUUGAACCGCAUGGUUCAAUAGUGAAAGACGGUUUUGCUGUCACUUAUAGAUGGAUCCGCGCCGCAUUAGCUAGUUGGUAAGGUAACGGCUUACCAAGGCAACGAUGCGUAGCCGACCUGAGAGGGUGAUCGGCCACACUGGAACUGAGACACGGUCCAGACUCCUACGGGAGGCAGCAGUAGGGAAUCUUCCGCAAUGGGCGAAAGCCUGACGGAGCAACGCCGCGUGAGUGAUGAAGGUCUUCGGAUCGUAAAACUCUGUUAUUAGGGAAGAACAAAUGUGUAAGUAACUAUGCACGUCUUGACGGUACCUAAUCAGAAAGCCACGGCUAACUACGUGCCAGCAGCCGCGGUAAUACGUAGGUGGCAAGCGUUAUCCGGAAUUAUUGGGCGUAAAGCGCGCGUAGGCGGUUUUUUAAGUCUGAUGUGAAAGCCCACGGCUCAACCGUGGAGGGUCAUUGGAAACUGGAAAACUUGAGUGCAGAAGAGGAAAGUGGAAUUCCAUGUGUAGCGGUGAAAUGCGCAGAGAUAUGG
RNAcentral lists this ribosomal RNA (656 nucleotides) under uncultured Staphylococcus sp. RNAcentral's name for it is "bacterial SSU rRNA". It matches the Rfam family "Bacterial small subunit ribosomal RNA", at positions 63 to 701 of the family's 1533-position model. Lineage: Bacteria; Bacillati; Bacillota; Bacilli; Caryophanales; Staphylococcaceae. The record is from RNAcentral.